RNAcentral lists this long non-coding RNA (2078 nucleotides) under Anas platyrhynchos platyrhynchos (common mallard). Its description in RNAcentral is "lncRNA (ENSAPLG00000025256.1)". The record is from RNAcentral. Lineage: Eukaryota; Metazoa; Chordata; Aves; Anseriformes; Anatidae.
CUGGGGGGCUGAGACCCGGCACACAGUGGGUGCGUGGUGCCUCCUCGGCACCAACAGGCAAUUUUUGGGUCCCCCCCCCCCCAGAAUUUAGCGCCAGGCAUGUGGCUGGGAUCGGGGGGUGCAACUGGCAGCACCCCUGGGGACCCAUGGGGGAUGAGCUCAGGGCUCUGGGCCUGCUCCCCGGGGGGGGGGGGGGUGCAGCCCCCCUGGAUGUGCUUUGGAGAUGGAUUUAGGGUUGGCAUUUUGGGGUGCGAUCGCCUCUCGGGCACCGGUGGCACCCGGCGCUGCAAUAUCCCCUGGGGGCAUGGAGCCUGGUGGCCUCAUUUCCCUUGGGGGGGGGGUCCUGUGCGCCCCCACCCCCUGCUCACCUCCCUCAGUAACGAAGCAAAGGCAAUUAAACCGCCCUCACCAGGGAGCAGGGGCAGCAUCCUCGUGCACCCAGCCUCGUGCUACCCCAUGGAGAGGCAGCGGUGCUGAGCCCUGGUGCUUUUUGGCUGUGCCAUCCRUCCCCAGAUGCCCGGGGGGGGGCAGCCCCCAGCCCUCCCCAGGGGCWRRACCCWRAGCCACGAGGCGGGUGCUGGGUGCCGGGCAGGCUCSCUGCGUCAGCCAAGCRCCACGCUCGGCCCYGRCGAGGGAUCGAUGGCAGGAGGAGGCAGAGGCCGAAGCUGGUGGCGAUGGAGCAGAGGCCGGGGCUGCUCCGGGCACCCCAGGGCCAGAGGGAACGGCCGGGGGGGGCUCGUCCCUGCUCGGGGUGGGGGCGCUGGGCUCAGCCUGGUCGGAUCCGCCGGGCACCGCGGCCGUGUGCGCUUUGGUGAUGCGUGCACGCGAGCUCCAGCUGGGCACCGUGCAAAAUUUGGGUGCGUGGCGGUGCUGGGAACCAUUUCGGGUGCUUCCGAAACCACUGCAGGGGUCUGAAGCACAACCUCCACUCCGCGAGGCCACCAAAUUUUGGGGCCCUGCUCGACACGCGGGGAGCGCAGCGCCUGCAGCGCCUGCAGCACCCAUGGCACCUGCAGCACCCGUAGCACCUGCAGUGCCUGCACCCAGGUGGAGGUGGAGGUGGAGAGCAUGGACAAGGCGGGGAACUUCAUCGGCUGGCUGCACAUCGAGGGCGUCAACCUGUCGGUGGCCCUGGUGGAGCACGCGCUCUCCAAGGUGCACUUCACCGCCGAGCGCAGCCCCUACUCCAAGGCGCUGCUGGCCGCCGAGGAGGCCGCCAAGCAGAGGAAGGAGAAGGUGAGCGACCCCCCCUUUUGUGCCACCACCCCGGCCCCAAACCCCCCCCCGGGGGACACAUCUUGGUGGCGGUGGGCUGGGUGCCCGCCCCAGCGCCGUUUUUCCCCCCCCCUCCUGUCCCCAGGUGUGGUCCCACUACGAGGAGACGCCGGUGGAGGAGGUGGUGCCGGUGCUGGAGGAGAAGGAGCGCACGGCCAACUACAAGCCCGUCUUCGUCACGGAGAUCACCGACGACCUGCACUUCUACGUGCAGGACGUGGAGACAGGUGAGGGGUGGCGGGGAGGAACUGGGGGGGGGGUCACCGUGGGGCUGGGGUCGCUGCUCCGUGCCCCUUCCCUGUGCGGCGACCCGCUGCUCGCCCCCACCUGCAGCUGAAGGUGGCUGCUUUCUUUAAAAAAUACUGCUUUUGUUAAAAAAAAGGCUGCUGAAAUUUAAAAAUUUAAAAAGUGAGCUGUGGCGUGGAGCACUCGCUGCCCGGUGUCCCCAAGACCCCAAUGAGGUCCCCAUGAGGGCAGCACCUGCAGCAGGACGGGGGGUUGGGGACAGGGACGGGGACAGGGCGCGGUGCUGCACCCCCUGCCUGGCACGGCGUGGGGCACCCUCGUCCCCAUGUCCCCGGGGUGCCCGGGGGGGGGUGGCACCGGUGUCGCCACCCCAUAACCCAGCUCUGCACAGCUCGUGGUUGGCAGCAGGGUCUCGGCCACCACGAUGUCCCCACCCCAUGUCCCCACCGUGGGUGGCUUUGUGUCAUCGGGCUGAGGACGCUGGGUUUUGGCGAGCAGCCCCAAACUCGCACCCCCAGCCCCGGGUGGGACUCGAGCAGCCCCUGGGUGCCCCCGUC